UUUCCUUCAUUCAUUCGCCCAUUCUCUCUCUCAAAUUUCUAUUUUAUUUAUUUUAUUUUCACCUAUAAUAAUAAUAAAGCCAUGCCCCAUUUUAAGUAUUGCAACUCCCAAUCACCGCUACCCUUUCCGAUUGAUCUGAGCCCAUAACGCAUGUCAAGGCUCUGCCUGACUAAGUUCGUUUGGGUUCUGUCUUGGGACAUCGGGACAAGGUUGAUUUAGGGGUACUAUACUUACCACAAGUACAUUAUAUAUUUUUAAUAGCCCAAAAGUUAUACCCAAAAUUUAUACCAGGAGAUUUUCUAGUUGAACCCUAAAGUUACAAAGUGGGUCCAUUCUCUUUUCUCACUAUUUUAUUCCCUUUUUCCUUAUGAUAUAAUUAUAUUUAAAAAUACUCUAAAAUGAUCCGUUACUCAAAACCCGGACCCUUGAAAUCCCAAUCCAUAUCAGAAAUAAAGAAAAUCAGAUAACUGGUGUUCUCGCGGGCCGCGUAAGAAAUAGGCAGACGGUCACGCGGGCCGCGACAGCUCGUGGGUAUCCGGAUAUGCAUGACGACCACGUGUCAUCACACGCGUCGCAACCACUGGUGACUCAGCUAUCUCCGGUCUGAUCUAAGCUUCCACGCGGGCCGCGUAAGAGUCGGCCGAAGGUUCACGCGGGCCGCGACAAACCCCAAUUUCACCUAUAAAUUGCCUGGACAUCGAGCUUUCAUUCUGUGUCGAAAGUUUCUUUUAGAAACGAAGUAAUACUGUCCAAAUUCAAAUAUUACUCUCAUAGUAGUGGGGUACUGCUACGAUACCGGGUAUUAACUCGAUCGCUGCUACGAUUCAAUGUCCGAUCGAUUGAAACUAUCCGACCGGAUGUUUAAGUACUAUCCUUUGUCAUUAGUCGUGAUUCCGACAGGAUGUUUAAGUACCACCCGAACUCGGGGAAUACUCUGUCAUUCGUUGUGAAUCUGAUGGAUGUUUAAGUGAUUGCACUUUGUCAUUCGUUGUGAGGGUUUUAAUCUCGUGAGUUAUCGUAAAAGCUAUAUUAGUUAUUUACCUAGUUCGUGUGCACUAGGUUACAAGGCUAAUCAAUAGACUAAGCUCUGCCUGCAUAAAUCUGCAAUAUAUCAAGGCUUAUCUGUAGACUAGAAAUUUCCCGUAUGAAUCUGCAUGCUUAUAAUGUAAUUACAGUAGAUUAGAGUAAGAAUUGGAUCCGGCACUGAAGGACUUCAAGAAGUGGUUUAUUUUAUUAAUUGAAUCAAAUUAAGAAAUCUUGUUUUCUAAAAAUCAAAUUUAUUUAUAUUAAAGCUACCAUUGUAAAACAUGGGUUUUAUCCCAUCUAUUUAAUAAAUCCGGUGUUUUUAAACUCUGAUAUUUUUCCUAACUCACGGUCCUGAUAAAAUUUCCGCUGCAAUGUUUUUCAAAAUAUUCACCGGUACCACUGGACUGCUCACGGCACCCGAUUCCGUCCAGGGUGGGUCGGGGGUCGUGACACACCUCCUCUGGUAAUGGGUUCAAAUCAUCACCGUCUAGAUACGGUUUCGGCCGAUGACCAUUAACUACUUGUCUUCGUUGGUCCUUUGGAUCCUCAAUCUCCACAUCUCCAUACUGUCCGACUCAUGUAAUGACGAACGGUCCGGUCCAUUUACUCCUUAAUUUACCUAGAAGCAAUUUAAGGCGGGAGUUAAAUAACCAAAAUUUUUGACCUACCGAAAACACCAAACGCCUCAGCUUUGCGUCGUGAACCGCCUUCAUUUUGUCUUUGUAUGCGGCUGCGGUAUCAUACGCCUCAUUGCGUAAUUCCUCCAAUUCACUCAAUUUCAACAACCUGCGGGCACCUGCAUCUGAAUAAUCAGUAUUCACUUGUUUAACAGCCCACAAAGCAUGAUGUGCAAUCUCAGGGGUAAAUGACAACCCUUCCCAUACACCAAACGAUAGGGUGUAGUGCCGAUAGGAGUUUUAUAAGCGGUGUGAUAUGCCCAUAAAGCAUCAUCCAAUUUAGAUGACCAAUCCUUACGGUAAGUUCGCACCGUCUUUUGCAAAAUCUCUUUAAUUUGCCUAUUCGGCACUUCAACGUGUCCACUCGUUUGUGGAUGAUAUGGUGUAGAAAUUCGAUGGUCAACCCCAUACCGUUUUAAGAGUUUGCCAAAAAUAAGGUUUUUAAAGUGGGAUCCUCCAUCACUAAUUAUCACCCUAGGAAUCCCGAACCAAGAAAAAAUGUUUGAAUGGACAAACUUGCAAACAACGGUAUAGUCGUUUGUCUUAGUGGCAAUUGCUUCAAUCCACUUUGAAACAUAAUCAACCGCCACUAAGAUGUAUAGGUUACCAUUCGAAUUGGGAAACGGCCCCAUAAAAUCAAUUCCCCAAACAUCAAAAAUAUCAACAACCAAAAUUGGUUGUAUUGGCAUUUCAUCCCUUUUUGAAAUCCCACCCAUCUUUUGACAAUUCGGGCAAUGUUUAACGAACUCAAAAGCGUCCUUGAACAUGGUUUGCCAAUAAAGACCAGCUUCAAGAACUUUAUGGCAUGUCUUUUGUCCGCUAAAGUGACCGCCACAUGCAGAUGAGUGAGCAUGUUGUAAUACUUCCAAGAACUCUGUCUCGGGUACACAUCUUCGAAUAAUCUGAUCAGCACCAAUCCGGAACAAAUCUGGCUCGUCCCAAAUAUAAUUCUUCACUCGUGACAGAAAUUGCUGCUUCCUAUGCAUUUUGAUGUCUGUUGUUAAGGACACGCAAAAAACCGAAAUAAACUAUGUAGAUAGAGUAAGUCGGAUAUCGAACCAGAUGAGGAUUGUGGAAAGUGUCACGAUGCUAAGUAUUGAUUAAUUAUUACAAAAAAGUAAAUAUUGUUU
RNAcentral lists this long non-coding RNA (2833 nucleotides) under Helianthus annuus (common sunflower). Its description in RNAcentral is "hypothetical non coding rna". Lineage: Eukaryota; Viridiplantae; Streptophyta; Magnoliopsida; Asterales; Asteraceae. The record is from RNAcentral.